UACGUAGGGUGCAAGCGUUGUCCGGAAUUAUUGGGCGUAAAGAGCUCGUAGGCGGUUUGUUGCGUCGGCUGUGAAAUCCCGAGGCUCAACCUCGGGUCUGCAGUCGAUACGAGCAAACUAGAGUGUUGCAGGGGAGAUCGGAAUUCCUGGUGUAGCGGUGAAAUGCGCAGAUAUCAGGAGGAACACCGGUGGCGAAGGCGGAUCUCUGGGCCUUACCUGACGCUCAGGCGCGAAAGCUAGGGGAGCGAACAGG
Molecule: ribosomal RNA, 253 nt
Filed under: uncultured bacterium
Lineage: Bacteria
Description: partial 16S ribosomal RNA
Rfam family: Bacterial small subunit ribosomal RNA
Source: RNAcentral